UACAAAGGGAGCAAGCGUUACUCGGAAUUAUUGGGCGUAAAGAGUGCGUAGGCGGUUAUAUAAGUUAAGGGUGAAAGCCUUGAGCUCAACUCAAGAAUUGCUCUUAAUACUGUAUAACUCGAGUAUCAGAAGAGAUAGUGGAAUUCCUAGUGUAGAGGUGAAAUUCGUAGAUAUUAGGAGGAACAUCGGUGGCGAAAGUGACUAUCUAGCUGAAAACUGACGCUGUUGCACGAAAGCGUGGGGAUCAAAC
RNAcentral lists this ribosomal RNA (250 nucleotides) under uncultured bacterium. Its description in RNAcentral is "partial 16S ribosomal RNA". It matches the Rfam family "Bacterial small subunit ribosomal RNA", at positions 524 to 773 of the family's 1533-position model. The record is from RNAcentral.